AUUGAACGCUGGCGGCAGGCCUAACACAUGCAAGUCGAGCGGUAGCACAGAGAGCUUGCUCUCGGGUGACGAGCGGCGGACGGGUGAGUAAUGUCUGGGAAACUGCCUGAUGGAGGGGGAUAACUACUGGAAACGGUAGCUAAUACCGCAUAANGUCGCAAGACCAAAGUGGGGGACCUUCGGGCCUCAUGCCAUCAGAUGUGCCCAGAUGGGAUUAGCUAGUAGGUGGGGUAACGGCUCACCUAGGCGACGAUCCCUAGCUGGUCUGAGAGGAUGACCAGCCACACUGGAACUGAGACACGGUCCAGACUCCUACGGGAGGCAGCAGUGGGGAAUAUUGCACAAUGGGCGCAAGCCUGAUGCAGCCAUGCCGCGUGUGUGAAGAAGGCCUUCGGGUUGUAAAGCACUUUCAGCGGGGAGGAAGGCGANAAGGUUAAUAACCUUGUCGAUUGACGUUACCCGCAGAAGAAGCACCGGCUAACUCCGUGCCAGCAGCCGCGGUAAUACGGAGGGUGCAAGCGUUAAUCGGAAUUACUGGGCGUAAAGCGCACGCAGGCGGUCUGUCAAGUCGGAUGUGAAAUCCCCGGGCUCAACCUGGGAACUGCAUUCGAAACUGGCAGGCUAGAGUCUUGUAGAGGGGGGUAGAAUUCCAGGUGUAGCGGUGAAAUGCGUAGAGAUCUGGAGGAAUACCGGUGGCGAAGGCGGCCCCCUGGACAAAGACUGACGCUCAGGUGCGAAAGCGUGGGGAGCAAACAGGAUUAGAUACCCUGGUAGUCCACGCCGUAAACGAUGUCGAUUUGGAGGUUGUGCCCUUGAGGCGUGGCUUCCGGAGCUAACGCGUUAAAUCGACCGCCUGGGGAGUACGGCCGCAAGGUUAAAACUCAAAUGAAUUGACGGGGGCCCGCACAAGCGGUGGAGCAUGUGGUUUAAUUCGAUGCAACGCGAAGAACCUUACCUGGUCUUGACAUCCACAGAACUUANCAGAGAUGNUUUGGUGCCUUCGGGAACUGUGAGACAGGUGCUGCAUGGCUGUCGUCAGCUCGUGUUGUGAAAUGUUGGGUUAAGUCCCGCAACGAGCGCAACCCUUAUCCUUUGUUGCCAGCGGUNNGGCCGGGAACUCAAAGGAGACUGCCAGUGAUAAACUGGAGGAAGGUGGGGAUGACGUCAAGUCAUCAUGGCCCUUACGACCAGGGCUACACACGUGCUACAAUGGCAUAUACAAAGAGAAGCGACCUCGCGAGAGCAAGCGGACCUCAUAAAGUAUGUCGUAGUCCGGAUUGGAGUCUGCAACUCGACUCCAUGAAGUCGGAAUCGCUAGUAAUCGUAGAUCAGAAUGCUACGGUGAAUACGUUCCCGGGCCUUGUACACACCGCCCGUCACACCAUGGGAGUGGGUUGCAAAAGAAGUAGGUAGCUUAACCUUCGGGAGGGCGCUUACCACUUUGUGAUUCAUGACUGGGGUGAAG
This 1465-nucleotide ribosomal RNA is filed under the name Klebsiella pneumoniae. Its description in RNAcentral is "16S ribosomal RNA". It matches the Rfam family "Bacterial small subunit ribosomal RNA". The record is from RNAcentral. Lineage: Bacteria; Pseudomonadati; Pseudomonadota; Gammaproteobacteria; Enterobacterales; Enterobacteriaceae.